GAGUUUGAUCAUGGCUCAGAUUGAACGCUGGCGGCAUGCCUUACACAUGCAAGUCGAGCGGAUGAUGGGAGCUUGCUCCUUGAUUCAGCGGCGGACGGGUGAGUAAUGCCUAGGAAUCUGCCUGGUAGUGGGGGACAACGUUUCGAAAGGAACGCUAAUACCGCAUACGUCCUACGGGAGAAAGCAGGGGACCUUCGGGCCUUGCGCUAUCAGAUGAGCCUAGGUCGGAUUAGCUAGUUGGUGGGGUAAUGGCUCACCAAGGCGACGAUCCGUAACUGGUCUGAGAGGAUGAUCAGUCACACUGGAACUGAGACACGGUCCAGACUCCUACGGGAGGCAGCAGUGGGGAAUUUUGGACAAUGGGGGCAACCCUGAUCCAGCCAUGCCGCGUGUGUGAAGAAGGUCUUCGGAUUGUAAAGCACUUUAAGUUGGGAGGAAGGGCAGUAAGUUAAUACCUUGCUGUUUUGACGUUUACCGACAGAAUAAAGCACCGGCUAACUCUGUGCCAGCA
This 511-nucleotide ribosomal RNA is filed under the name bacterium enrichment culture clone ALO1_GLFRUDD03F8NDU. RNAcentral's name for it is "bacterial SSU rRNA". It matches the Rfam family "Bacterial small subunit ribosomal RNA", at positions 9 to 513 of the family's 1533-position model. The record is from RNAcentral.